AGUCGAACGAACCUUCGGGUUAGUGGCGGACGGGUGAGUAACGCGUGAGAAUCUGCCCUCAGGAGGGGGAUAACAGUUGGAAACGACUGCUAAUACCCCAUAUGCCGAGAGGUGAAACGAAUUUCGCCUGGGGAUGAGCUCGCGUCUGAUUAGCUUGUUGGUGGGGUAACUGCCUACCAAGGCUUCGAUCAGUAGCUGGUCUGAGAGGACGAUCAGCCACACUGGGACUGAGACACGGCCCAGACUCCUACGGGAGGCAGCAGUGGGGAAUUUUCCGCAAUGGGCGCAAGCCUGACGGAGCAACGCCGCGUGAGGGAUGGAGGCCUUUGGGCUGUAAACCUCUUUUCUCAAGGAAGAAGAUCUGACGGUACUUGAGGAAUAGGCCACGGCUAAUUCCGUGCCAGCAGCCGCGGUAAUACGGGAGUGGCAAGCGUUAUCCGGAAUUAUUGGGCGUAAAGCGUCCGCAGGCGGCCGUUUAAGUCCGUUGUUAAAUCGUGGAGCUCAACUCCAUCACGGCAAUGGAAACUGUUCGGCUUGAGUAUGGUAGGGGCAGAGGGAAUUUCCGGUGUAGCGGUGAAAUGCGUAGAUAUCGGGAAGAACACCAGUGGCAAAAGCGCUCUGCUGGGCCAUUACUGACGCUCAUGGACGAAAGCCAGGGGAGCGAAAGGGAUUAGAUACCCCUGUAGUCCUGGCCGUAAACGAUGAACACUAGAUGUUGGGGGAAUCGACCCCCUCGGUGUCGUAGCUAACGCGUUAAGUGUUCCGCCUGGGGAGUACGCACGCAAGUGUGAAACUCAAAGGAAUUGACGGGGGCCCGCACAAGCGGUGGAGUAUGUGGUUUAAUUCGAUGCAACGCGAAGAACCUUACCAAGGCUUGACAUCCUGCGAAUCUCCAAGAAAUUGGAGAGUGCCUUCGGGAACGCAGUGACAGGUGGUGCAUGGCUGUCGUCAGCUCGUGUCGUGAGAUGUUGGGUUAAGUCCCGCAACGAGCGCAACCCACGUUUUUAGUUGCCAGCAUUCAGUUGGGCACUCUAGAAAGACUGCCGGUGACAAACCGGAGGAAGGUGUGGACGACGUCAAGUCAUCAUGCCCCUUACGCCUUGGGCUACACACGUACUACAAUGCUGCGGACAAAGAGUAGCGAUCUUGCGAAAGUUAGCUAAUCUCGUAAACCGUGGCUCAGUUCAGAUCGUAGGCUGCAACUCGCCUACGUGAAGGAGGAAUCGCUAGUAAUCGCAGGUCAGCAUACUGCGGUGAAUACGUUCCCGGGCCUUGUACACACCGCCCGUCACACCAUGGAAGUUGGCCAUGCCCGAAGUCGUUACUCUAACCUUUUGGAAGAGGCGCCGAAGG
RNAcentral lists this ribosomal RNA (1353 nucleotides) under uncultured cyanobacterium. RNAcentral's name for it is "16S ribosomal RNA". It matches the Rfam family "Bacterial small subunit ribosomal RNA". Lineage: Bacteria; Bacillati; Cyanobacteriota. The record is from RNAcentral.